This 586-nucleotide ribosomal RNA is filed under the name uncultured bacterium. Its description in RNAcentral is "bacterial SSU rRNA". It matches the Rfam family "Bacterial small subunit ribosomal RNA", at positions 102 to 686 of the family's 1533-position model. The record is from RNAcentral.
ACGGGUGAGUAACGCGUAGGAAUCUACCUUUCAGUGAGGAAUACUCCCGAGAAAUCGGGCUUAAUACUGCAUACGUCUAGAAAUAGAGAAAGAUGGCUUUUAUGCUGUCGCUGAGAGAUGAGCCUGCGUACUAUUAGCUAGUUGGUGGGGUAAUGGCCUACCAAGGCGAUGAUGGUUAGCCGGCCUGAGAGGGUGUACGGCCACACUGGAACUUAGACACGGUCCAGACUCCUACGGGAGGCAGCAGUGAGGAAUAUUGCGCAAUGGGCGAAAGCCUGACGCAGCGACGCCGCGUGGAGGAUGAAGGUCUUCGGAUUGUAAACUUCUGUUAAGUGGGAAGAAAGGCAAAGCUCUAAUACAGCUUUGAUAUGACGGUACCAUUAGAGAAAGCACCGGCUAAACUCGUGCCAGCAGCCGCGGUAAUACGAGUGGUGCAAGCGUUAUUCGGAUUGAUUGGGCGUAAAGGGUGCGCAGGCGGUAUGCUAAGUCAACUGUUAAAAACCUCAGCCUAACUGAGGAUCGGCGGUAGAUACUGGCGUGCUAGAGGGUGGAAGAGAGAAGUGGAAUUCUUGGAGUAGCGGUAAAA